Long non-coding RNA from Physella acuta, 395 nucleotides. RefSeq lists it as uncharacterized. Lineage: Eukaryota; Metazoa; Mollusca; Gastropoda; Physidae. The record is from RefSeq and is a predicted model, not a curated record.
GCUAUUGUUUACGUUUGGUAUUAACUUUUUAACACGAUUUCGACUUUAACUAAUCCUAAAAAGGCCACGAAACCAACUAUGAUUGAAUAUUAUUAUUUAGCAAGAGAGAAAAUCGUAGAUGGGUUUUGAUAUCAGCUUGUCUUGGAGAAUUCUGCUAUUGCUGUCUUUAUGUGCUGGCCCCAUGUUUGGCUGUGACGUUGGAUGGUUUGGACCUUUUUGCCGGCGCAAGUGCCACUGUAUCAACAACCAAUGUGACGACAUGGGCACAUGUGUGAACGGUUCUCGGUGUGACGUAGGCUGGUUUGGUCCUUUGUGUCAGUACAUGAACCUUGCGAGUCUAGAAGAUGGCGUGAUCGUCACACCCUCGGUUCCAGAAUUGACAGAUUCGCAAAACG